This 78-nucleotide transfer RNA is filed under the name Gigantopelta aegis. Its description in RNAcentral is "tRNA-Thr". It matches the Rfam family "tRNA". From Rfam's summary of the family: Transfer RNA (tRNA) molecules are approximately 80 nucleotides in length. Their secondary structure includes four short double-helical elements and three loops (D, anti-codon, and T loops). Lineage: Eukaryota; Metazoa; Mollusca; Gastropoda; Neomphalida; Peltospiridae. The record is from RNAcentral.
GGCUCUAUAGCUCAGUUGGUUAGAGCGUCUGCCUAGUAAGCAGAAGGUCGAGGGUUCGAAUUCCUCUGGAGCGUUUCU